UCUUAGGCUAAAAAUCUGAUCUCUCUUGAGUUCUUUUUCUAAGCAUGUGAGAGAGCACCAAGGCUGCCCAUUCCCCCUCAAAAUCGUGAGCACACAUAGAGGAGAUAAAACACCUAAUCACUUCUUCUCCCUUCCCUCCUUGCUCAACCGUACACCAAGCAGAAAGCUUACAAGUUCCCUUCCCUUCCUAGCCUCCUCAAAACCGUGAGUGAUUGAAGAGAAGAACCAUCCUCAAAGUUUCCGCCUUCAUUCCCUCACCGAUUCGGUCCCACACCAGUGACCUUGAGAUGGAAGUUUAAGCACAUUCCUCUUCCUUAUUCUUGUUCGACUGAAAUCAACAUACAAGGAGUCUUGAUGGAGUCUUCUAUUUCCUUGCAUGCGGCUGUGAACUUAAUUCCUCGCAAGGCAGACCAAUAUAUUUUAAUUCUAAAUUAUCUCCAUUACACACUAAAACAACGAUGCUGAUGUUCAUUGAAUUGGUGACUGUUUUCUGCCACCAUUUUAAGAGAAACCUGGUUGCGAGUAAGAAGGAGGACGUAAAAGCAUUUGAUGAAGUAGUAUUUUGGAUAUCUGUUGUUGAGUGCUGCUGUUUUAAAAUCAUGAUGUUUGCCGCUGUUUAUUUGGCUGUGUGCUGAAUCUUGACGUUAUGUACUGUUUUGGGGAUUGACCAAGUGAAUAUAGUAUUUUAUUUUGGGAACACACAUUAGCUUGAUUAUUGUAUUUGCUAAGACUUAUGUAAUUCUGUUAUCUUAUUUUGACAAACAAUUUCUGCUGUUUAA
Gastrolobium bilobum is the source of this 779-nucleotide long non-coding RNA. RefSeq lists it as uncharacterized. The transcript is spliced from 3 exons. The record is from RefSeq and is a predicted model, not a curated record. NCBI's taxonomy places the organism in Eukaryota, Viridiplantae, Streptophyta, Magnoliopsida, Fabales, Fabaceae.